CCGGUGGCCCAAUUUCAUAAUAUGCCAAAUUCCCAAAUUCAAAUCCCUAAACAACUAAACUCUGAACUCUCUCGUCAGUUACUCACACUCAGUCGUCGACUAGUCUCUCCGACUCUCUGGCUCUCCCGCUCUCCCUCACUCGUCACUUUAGUCUGACUUCACUUGGCUGUCGCAAAAUCAAGGUGCAAACUCACAGUGGUCUCGAGAUUAAGGACUGCUCGUUUUGAGUUUUGUUGGUGUUCUGGCAUUAGCUUGCAAAUCCAGGGGUUCAUGUCUCCGAGUUCAUUUCAAGGGAAGAAAUUGGAAGUAGGUGAAGGUGAGGCUUCAAAUGAAAGCCUACCUAACACUUCAUCUCCAAAUGAAGUUGAAGUUAAUGUUGAUACUUCAAAGAAAAGAAAAGUCAAGGAACCUAGGGCUGCUUGUUGGAAGCAUUUUGAUAAGUUCACUGACAAAAUUGGAGCUCCGAAAGCAAAAUGUAAGUAUUGUGGGAAAAUUUAUGCAACUAAAACAAAAAGUAAUGGUACUACGACAAUGAAUAACCAUUUGUUGAAUAAGUGUCCUAAACUUCCCAGGACCGUAGAUGAUGGUUAAAAAUCAAUAAGCUUUCUACCAUCUUCAACGAAAGCGAAGAAAGGGGUGAUUAGGACUUGGAAAUUUGACUAAGCACAAAGUAGGAGAGCUUUGGCACAAAUGGUAAUUGUUGACGAGCUACUAGUUAGUUUUGUUGAAAAAGAAAGUUUUAAAAAGUUCAUGAAAGUAACAGUGCCACAAUUUCAUAUUCCUUCUCGUAAAACCUUGACUAGAGAUUGUUAUGAACUCUAUAGUGAACAAAGACAAGUUUUGAAGAAGGUUUUCAAAGAAGCACGUCCAAAAGUUUGUCUUACGACAGAUACUUAGACCUCUAUACAAAGAAUAACCUACAUGUGUCUGACAGCCCACUUUAUAGAAAGAAAUUAGACUUUGCAUAAAAGAAUAAUAAACUUUUGUCCUACUUCUAGUCAUAAGGGCGAGGAUAUGGCGGUUUCUGUUACUAAAUGUUUGUUGAAAGGGGUUUGGAUAAUGUUUACUAUUACAGCUGAUAAUGUUAGUUCUAAUGAUGUUACGGUGAAAGAAAUAUCUAAGCAAUUGAGUAAUUGGGGAACUAACAUAAUAGGGGGUGAACACCUUCAUGUGAGAUGUAUGGCACAAAUUCUUAAUUUUAUUGUGCAAUAUGGGUUGAAAGAAAUUGGUAAGUCUAUCAAACGAGUGAGACAAGCUGUGAAAUACAUUAAACAAUCUCCCUCAAGAAUUAGAAAGUUCAAAGAAUGUUGUGAAUCUCAAUUGAUAACUUGUAAGAACUCAUUAUGUUUAAAUGUUCCUACUCUGUGGAAUUCUACAUACUUGAUACUUGAUACAGCACAAUAUUUUGAGCUUGCUUUUGAAAGAUAUAGUUUUUAUGAUAUUGGAUUCUUGGAUCAUCUUCGUACCUAUCCUUGUGAAGUUGGAACUAGUGCAGGUAUUCUUACAAGUGAUGAUUGGGAAAAUGUGAGGUCAAUGGUAAAGUUACUUGAAACUUUUUAUCUUCUUACUUUGAAGGUCUCUAGUUCAAAGUAUAUCACUAUCAAUGUACAUUUUGUGGAAAUUGCUGAACUUAAUCUUAUUUUGUAAGAGAUGAUCGAAAAUGAAGAUGAUAAUUUAAAAGAAAUGGCAAAAAAUAUGAGGAUAAAGUUCAAGAAGUAUUGGGGUGAACCUGAGAAAUGAACAAGAUGAUCUUUAUUUCGUCUUGUUGGAUCCCCGUAACAAGCUUGAUUAUGUUCCUUUUGCAAUUGUGGAUAUGUUUGGAAAAGAUAUUGGGAACAAGCUAAUUGAAUCAGUGAAAACAUACAUGAAAUCUUUGUUUUGUUAUUAUGUUAAGAAUUCAUCAAAAUUCUCUUUAUUUUCAUCAUCUUCACCUACAUCAUCUGCCAACUCAUCAAGGAAAUCUAUUGUGAGUGAUUAUGGCAACUUUCAAAAAAAAGGAACAAUGAGAACAAAACAACAAUUUGAGAAGCAUAAAGAAGUUAGUGGAGGUUCAGGUAAUAAAAUGGAAUUGGAUAGAUAUCUUGUAGAAGAUAUUAAGUCAGAUAGUGAUGGCUUUGAUAUAUUAAUGUGGUGGAAAAUUAAUGAGCCGAGACUUCCCAUUCUUGUGGAGAUGGCUCGUGAUUUAUUAACCAUUCCUAUUUUGAAGCGUCGCAUCAGAAUGCACAUUCAACACAGGUAGUCGCAUUCUUGAUCCCUUUAGGAGAUCAUUGACUCCUAAACGUGUGAAACCUAUUAUUUAUCUUUAAGAUUGGCUUAGAAGUGAGCCGAUUCCAAUCAAUAUUGAGGACUAUUUGGAAUAAUUUGAGCAACUACAACUUGGUAAAAAUUUUAUAUUUUCAAUUCAUUAUAGUGAAAAUAAUUUUCUUACUUGUGUUUCAUAACAAUUAACAAGUUCUUUCAUUUUUUUAGAUAUGGCUUGUAGUGGAAAUGAAUCUAGUAUUGUGGAUAUGUAGUUACAUCUAUGUGUGGUAAGUAUAACACUUUUAUGUAUAGGUUAUUUGGUAGUUUUAUAUAUUUUACUAUGAAAUAUUUAUUAUUUGUCUAGAGAGUUUCAUUUUCUCGCAAUUUGGAUGUUAUUGCAGAUUUGCAGUGGUUGUUUAGUUGACCUAUAAACGUACAUCAUUGAAGCUAUAGAAGUUCAUUAUGUUUGUUUCCUUGUUAAUCUUUUGGAGUUUUGGUUGUUGAUGUUGUGGUGUUGCCUACUGGAAGGCUGGAAGCUAUAAAAGGAAAAAUAUUUUGUUAUUUUCAAAGCUAUAGAAUAUAGAAUAGAAGCGCUUGGUAAGUACCUCUUCAUCUGAAAAGACUAGGAGCAAUGCUGAUGUUGAUUACAGGACCUCUGUGCAGUUUUAAGCCUUGUUUUGCAUCAUACUUUAGUUCUUUUGUGUGAUGAAAAAAUGAUGCUUUACAUUUGAGUUCUUUUGUGUGAAGGAAAAAUGAUGCUUUUUUUAAGCAAUGCUUUAGUUCUUGCUGCAGCUCUUUAAGUAUAGAUAGCAACUGGCACAGCUUAUACUUUCCCUUUUAUUCCCCUAUUUUGAUAUCAGUUUGUGUUUUAGUCAGCAGUAGCGGAUUAUUAUUGAAGUGAUAAAUGAUAUUUGGAGAAUAUUACGAUUCUCCGAAGUUCCCGCCUUCCAGGCUUAGCGUGCAACAAGGAGAAAGUCAGCAGCAGUUGACUAUUGUAACAAGGAGCAGCAGCUGACUGUUGCUUCCUCUCAUUCUUUUUACAAUCUAAGUUAUGCCUUGCCUCAUCUUCCUCCUGUUAUUUAUCUAUUUAUUUGUUGAUUUCUAUGUUGGGGGUGGGUUUUCUGCUCUGUAUUAUCUGUAACCUUUCUAUAUUAUUAGUUAGUCAUAUUUUCUAUGCCUUGGAGACAGUCUUUCGGAAAGUGUAACGUGGUAUUGUUGAGAAAAUCAUACUUGUCAAAUGUAAGGUUCUUGUUGACGAGAGAAGAUAUAUCAUUUCGAGGGCUAGUGGAAAAAUCUCACAAACCAAAAACCGUAUCGUAAUAAACCGAACAAAAUCAAAUUUAUUUUAGUUUGAUUUGGAUUAACAUUUUCACCAAACAGAAAAUCAAAAAAUAGAACUGAAUUUUGUAAACUGCACCGAACCGACCGAACGCCCAGCCCUAGUCCACAGCCAAAUACCAUCAAUACACGGCCCAAUUCAAUAAUGAAAUGUGUGGCCGGUGGCCCAAUUCAAACCCAAUUCCAUAAUAUGCCAAAUUCCUAAAUUCAAAUACAUAACAGCUAAACUCUUAACUCUCUCCUUAGUCACUCACUCUCAGUCUUCGAUUCGUCUCUCCGAUUCUCCGACUAUCCCUCUCUCCCUCACUCAUCACUUCAAUCCAUCUCCACUCGGCCGGCGUACAUCAAGGAGAAAAUUUGCAGUGGUCUUAGGAUUUCGGACUGCUCGUCUACUACAUCAAGGACUGCUCGUUUUGGAUUAUUUUUGUGUUCUGGCAUCAGCUUUCAAAUCCAAGGGUACAAGUCUCCGAGUUCAUUUCAAGAUGGAAGAAAUUGGAAGUAGGGUAAGUGAAGGUGGGGAUUCAAAUGAAAGCUUACCUAACACUUCAUCUCCAAAUGAAGUCGAAUUUAAUGUUGAUACUUCAAAGAAAAUUCAUGGAACAUAGGGCUGCUUGUUGGAAGCAUUUUGGUAAGUUUACUAACGAAUUGAAGCUCCAAAAGCAAAAUGCAAGUAUUGUGGGAAAAUUUAUGCAGCUGCUACAAAAGGUAAUGGUACUAUGACAAUGAAUAAUCAUUUGUUGAAUAAGUGUCCUAAUCUUCUUCGGACCGUAGAUGAUGGUGAAAAAUUAUUAAGUUUUCUAUCAUCUUCAACGAAAGCAAAGGAAGGGGUGAUUAGUACCUGGAAAUUUGACCAAGCACAAAGUAGAAGAGCUUUAGCACAAAUGGUAAUUGUUGACGAGCUACCAUUUAGUUUUGUUGAGAAAGAAGGUUUUAAAAACUUCAUGAAAGUAACGGUGCCACAAUUUCAUAUUCCUUCUUGUAAAACCUUGACUAGAGGUUUUUGUGAACUCUAUAGUGGCAAAGACAAGUUUUAAAGAAGGUUUUCAAAGAAGCACGUCCAAAAGAUUGUCUUACAACAGAUACUUGGACCUCUAUACAAAGAAUCACCUACAUGUGUCUGAAAGCCCACUUUAUAGAUAGAAACUGGACUUUGCAUAAAAGAACAGUAAACUUUUGUCCUAUUUCUAGUGAUAAGGGCGAGGAUAUGGCGGUUUCCAUUACUAAAUGUUUGCCUGAAUAGGGUUUGGAUAAUGUGUUUACUAUUACAAUUGAUAAUGCUAGUUCUAAUGAUGUUACGGUGAAAGAAAUGUCUAAGAAAUUGAGUAAUUGAGGAACUAACAUAAUGGGGGGGGGGGGGGGUUGAACACCAUCAUGUGAGAUGUAUGGCACAUAUUCUUAAUCUUAUUGUGCAAGAUGGGUUGAAAGAAAUUGGUAAGUCUAUCAAACGAGUGAGACAAGCUGUGAAAUACAUUAAAUAAUCUCCCUCAAGAAUUAGAAAGUUCAAAGAAUGUUGUGAAUCUUAAUUGAUAACUUGUAAGAAAUCAUUAUGUUUAGAUGUUCCUAUUCGGUGGAAUUCUACAUACUUUAUGCUUGAUACAGCACAAUAUUUUGAGCUUGCUUUGGAAAGAUAUAGUUUUUAUGAUAUUGGAUUCUUGGAUCAUCUUCGUACCUAUCCUUGUGAAGAUGGAACUAGUACAGCUAUUCUUACAAGUGAUGAUUGGGAAAAUGUGAGGUCAAUGGUAAAUAUUCUUGAAACUUUUUAUCAUCUUGCUUUAAAGGUCUCUGGUGCAAAGUAUGUCACUAACAAUGUGCAUUUUGUGGAAAUAUUUGAACUUGAUCUUAUUUUGAAAGAGAUGAUGGAGAAUGAAGAUGGUAAUGUGAAAGAAAUGGAAAAAAAUAUGAGGAUAAAAUUCAGAAAGUAUUGGGGUGAAUCAGAGAAAAUGAACAGGAUGAUCUUUAUUUCAUCUGUGUUGGAUCCCCGUAACAAGCUUGAUUAUAUUUCUUUUGCAAUUAAGGAUAUGUUUGGAAAAGAUAUUGGGAACAAGCGAAUUGAAUCAGUGAAAAUAUGCAUGAAAGCUUUAUUUGGUUAUUAUGUUAAGAAGUAAUAAAAGGCUCUUUAUUUCCAUAAUCUUCACCUACAUCAUCUGGCAAUUCAUCAAGUAAAUCUAUUGUGAGUUAUUAUGAGAACUUUCAAAAAAAGGAACAAUGAGAACAAAACAAUAAUUUGAGAAGCAUGAAGAAGUUAGUGGAGGUUCAGGUAGUAAAUCGGAAUUGGAUAGAGAUAUUUCCGAAGAUAUUAAGUCAGAUAGUGAUGGCUUUGAUAUAUUAAUGUGGUGGAAAGUUAAUGAGCCGAGAUUUUCCAUUUUUGCGUAGAUGGCUCGUGAUGUGUUUGCCAUUUCUAUUUCAAGCGUUGCAUCAGAAUGCGCAUUCAACACAGGUGGUCGCAUUCUUGAUCCCUUUAGCAGUUCAUUGACUCAUAAACUUGUGCAAUCUCCUAUUUGUCUUCAAGAUUGGCUUAAAAGUGAGCCUAUUCCAAUCAAUAUUGAGGAAGAUUUAGAGUAUCUUGAGCAACUUGAACUUGUAAAAAUGAAUCUAGUAUUGUGGAUAUGUAGUUACACCUAUCAACUAGUGACGUGUGAUUUGCAGUGGUUGUUUGGUUGAGCUAUAAACGUACAUCACUGUGUUGUUGUUUUCUAAGUUGCUGCCUAGUGGAACUAGAGGUUAUAGAAGUGCAUUAUGUUUGUUGCCUUAUUGGUCUUUUGGAGUUUUGGUUGCUGAUGCUGCGGUGCUGCCUACUGGAACGCUGGAAGCUAUAGAAAGAAAAAUAUUUUGUUAUUUUCAUAGCUGACAGAAUAUAGAAUAGAAGUGCUUUGUAAGUACCUCUUCAUAUGAAAUAACUAGGAGCAAUGCUGCUGUUGAUUACAAGACCUUUGUGCAGCUUUAAGCCUUGUUUUGCAUUAUACUUUAGUUCUUUUGUGUAAUGGAAAAAUUAUGCUUUACAUUUGAGUUCUUUUGUGUGAAGGAACAAUGAUGCUUUUUUUAGCAAUGCUUUAGUUCUUGCUACUCCUGUUUGGGUAUAGAUAGCAACUGGCACAGCUUGUACUUCCCCUUUUAUUCCCCUGCUUGGAAAUCAAUUUGGGUUUUUGUCAGCAGCAGCUGACUAUUAUUGAAGUGAUAAAUGAUAUUGGAGAGAAUGUUGGGAUUCUUCCAAGUUCCAGCCUUCCAGGCAUAGCUUGCAACAAGGAGAAAGUCAGCAGCAGUUGACUGUUGCAACAAGAAGCAGCAGCUGACUGUUGCUUCCUCUCUUUCUUAUUACAGUUUAAGUUAUGCCUUGCCUCAUCUUCCUCCUGUUAUUUAUCUAUUUAUUUGUUGAUUUCUAAGUUGGGGGUGGGUUAAUAUGCUCUGUAUUAUUUGUAAGCUUUCUCUAUUAUUUCUUAGUCAUAUUUUCAAUACCUUUGAGACAGUCUUUCAGAAAGUGUAAUGAGGUAUUAUUGAGAAAAUCAUACUUGUCAAAUGUAAAGUGCUUGUUCACAAGAGAAGAUAUAUCAUUUCGAGGCAAGUGGAAAAAUCUGACAAACCAAAAAUAGAACCAAAAUUGUAAAAUCGAACCAAAUCGAAUUUAUUUUAGUUUGGUUUGGAUUAACAUUUUCACCAAAUUGAAAAUCGAAAAAUCGAAUCGAAUUUUAUAAAUCGGAUUGUUUCUGAUCCGGAAUUUGCAACACAACAAAAGUAGAAGCAUGCUAUGUUAAUGCUAGCAUAGAAUAGUUGUACCCAGUGAAAACUGCUUUUCUUAGGAUGAACAGCCCUAGUCCACAGUCCAACUCCAUCCAUAUACGUCACAAUUCAUUUAUGAAAGGUGUGGCCGGUCGCCCAAUUCAAACCCAAUUCCAUAAUAUCCCAAAAUCUCAAAUUCAAAUCCCUAAACAGCUAAACUCUAAACUCUCUCGUUAGUCUCUCAAACUAAGUCGUCAACUCGUCUCUCCCACUCUCUCUCACUCGUCACUUCAGUCUGUCUCCACACGGCUGUCGCAAUAUCAAGGAUCAAACUCGCAGUCGACUGCUCGUCUGCUACAUCAAGAAUUGCUCGUUUUGAGUUUUGUUUGUGUUCUGGCAUUAGCUUGCAAAUCCAGGGGUUCAUGUCUCCGAGUUCAUUUCAAGAUGGAAGAAAUUGGAAGUAGGGUAAGUGAAGGUGGGGAUUCAAAUGAAAGCUUACCUAACACUUCAUCUCCAAAUGAAGUCGAAUUUAAUGUUGAUACUUCAAAGAAAAUUCAUGGAACAUAGGGCUGCUUGUUGGAAGCAUUUUGGUAAGUUUACUAACGAAUUGAAGCUCCAAAAGCAAAAUGCAAGUAUUGUGGGAAAAUUUAUGCAGCUGCUACAAAAGGUAAUGGUACUAUGACAAUGAAUAAUCAUUUGUUGAAUAAGUGUCCUAAUCUUCUUCGGACCGUAGAUGAUGGUGAAAAAUUAUUAAGUUUUCUAUCAUCUUCAACGAAAGCAAAGGAAGGGGUGAUUAGUACCUGGAAAUUUGACCAAGCACAAAGUAGAAGAGCUUUAGCACAAAUGGUAAUUGUUGACGAGCUACCAUUUAGUUUUGUUGAGAAAGAAGGUUUUAAAAACUUCAUGAAAGUAACGGUGCCACAAUUUCAUAUUCCUUCUUGUAAAACCUUGACUAGAGGUUUUUGUGAACUCUAUAGUGGCAAAGACAAGUUUUAAAGAAGGUUUUCAAAGAAGCACGUCCAAAAGAUUGUCUUACAACAGAUACUUGGACCUCUAUACAAAGAAUCACCUACAUGUGUCUGAAAGCCCACUUUAUAGAUAGAAACUGGACUUUGCAUAAAAGAACAGUAAACUUUUGUCCUAUUUCUAGUGAUAAGGGCGAGGAUAUGGUGAUUUCCAUUACUAAAUGUUUCCUUGAAUGGGAGGUUGGAUAAUAUGUUUACCAUUAUAGUUGAUAAUUCUAGUUCUAAUGAUAUUACGGUGAAAGAAAUGUCUAAGCAAUCGAGUAAUUGGGGAACUAACAUAAUAGGGGGUGAACACCUUCAUGUGAGAUGUAUGGCACAUAUUCUUAAUCUAAUUGUGCAAGAUGGGUCUAAAGAAAUUGGUAAGUCUAUCAAGCGAGUGAGACAAGCUGUGAAAUGCAUUAAACAAUCUCCCUCAAGAAUUAGAAAGUUCAAAGAAUGUUGUGAAUCUCAAUUGAUAACUUGUAAGAAAUCAUUAUGUUUAGAUGUUCCUACUCUAUGGAAUUCUACAUACUUGAUGCUUGAUACAGAACAACAUUUUGAGCUUGCUUUUGAAAGAUAUAGUUUUUAUGAUAUUGGAUUCAUGGAUCAUCUUCGUACCUAUCCUUGUGAAGAUGGAACUAGUGCAUGUAUUCUUACUUUUGAUGAUUGGGAAAAAGUGAGGUCAAUGGUAAAGUUUCUUGAAACUUUUUAUCUUUUUACUUUGAAGGUCUCUAGUUCAAAGUAUGUCACUAACACUGUGCAUUUUGUGGAAAUUGCUGAACUUGAUCUUAUUUUGCAAGAGAUGAUGGAAAAUGAAGAUGGUAAUUUGUAAUAAAUGGCAAAAAAAUAUGAGGAUAAAGUUCAGAAAGUAUUGGGGUGAACCGGAGAAAAUGAACAAGAUGAUCUUUAUUUUAUCUGUGUUAGAUCCCCAUAACAAGCUUGAUUAUGUUCCUUUUGCAAUUGUGGAUGUGUUUGAAAAAGAUAUUGGGGACAAGCUAAUUGAAUCAGUGAAAAUAUACAUGGAAGCUUUGUUUGGUUAUUAAGUUAAGAAGUCAUCAAAAGGCUCUUUAUUUCCAUCAUCUUCACCUACAUCAUUUGGCAACUCAUCAAGUAAAUCUAUUGUGAGUGACUAUCGCAACUUUCAAAAAAAAGGAACAAUGAGAACAAAACAACAAUUUGAGAAGCAUAAAGAAGUUAGUGGAGGAUCAGGGAGUAAAUCAGAACUGGAUAGAUAUAUUGCCGAUGAUAUUAAGUCAAAUAGUGAUGGCUUUGAUAUAUUAUUGUGGUGGAAAGUUAAUGAGACGAGAUUUCUCAUUCUUGCGUAGAUGGCUCAUGAUGUGUUAGACAUUCCUAUUUCAAGCGUCGCAUCAGAAUGUGCCUUCAGCAUAGAUAUGGCUUUUGGUGAAAAUGAAUCUAGUAUUGUGGAUAUGUAGUUACACCUAUCAACUAGUGACGUGUGAUUUGCAGUGGCUGUUUGAUUGAGCUAUAAAUGUACAUCAUUGUGUUGUUGCUUUCUAAGUUGUUGUCUGCUGGAACUAGAAGCUAUAGAAGUGCAUUAUGUUUGUUGCCUUAUUGGUCUUUUGGAGUUUUGGUUGUUGAUGAUGCGGUGCUGCCUACUGGAAGGCUGGAAGCUAUAGAAGGAAAAAUAUUUUGUUAUUUUCUUAGCUAUAGAAUAUAGAAUAGAAGUGCUUGGUAUGUACCUCUUCAUCUGAAAAGACUAGGAGCAAUGCUGCUGUUGAUUACAGGACCUCUGUGCAGCUUUAAGCCCUAUUUUGCAUCAUACUUUAGUUCUUUUGUGUGAUGGAAAAAUGAUGCUUUACAUUUGAGUUCUUUUGUGUGAAGGAAAAAUGAUGCUUUUAUUUUUAACAAUGCUUUAGCUGUUGCUGUUGUUUGGGUAUAGAUAGCAACUGGCACAGCUUGUACUUCCCCUUUUAUUCCCCUGCUUGGAAAUCAAUUUGGGUUUUUGUCAGCAGCAGCUGACUAUUAUUGAAGUGAUAAAUGAUAUUGGAGAGAAUGUUGGGAUUCUUCCAAGUUCCAGCCUUCCA
RNA transcript from Solanum dulcamara, 10342 nucleotides. It is a transcript of the gene named zinc finger BED domain-containing protein RICESLEEPER 2-like, with no coding region annotated. The record is from RefSeq and is a predicted model, not a curated record. The transcript has 8 exons. NCBI's taxonomy places the organism in Eukaryota, Viridiplantae, Streptophyta, Magnoliopsida, Solanales, Solanaceae.